UACGUAGGGUGCAAGCGUUAAUCGGAAUUACUGGGCGUAAAGCGUGCGCAGGCGGUUCUAUAAGACAGAUGUGAAAUCCCCAGGCUCAACCUGGGAACUGCACUCGAAACUACUUCCCUUGAGUGUCGGAGAGGAAAGCGGAAUACCUGGUGUAGAGGUGAAAUUCGUAGAUAUCAGGUGGAACGCCAGUGGCGAAGGCGGCUUUCUGGAUGAUAACUGACGCUGAGACGCGAAAGCGUGGGGAGCAAACAGG
This 253-nucleotide ribosomal RNA is filed under the name uncultured bacterium. RNAcentral's name for it is "partial 16S ribosomal RNA". It matches the Rfam family "Bacterial small subunit ribosomal RNA", at positions 524 to 776 of the family's 1533-position model. The record is from RNAcentral.